GAUGAACGCUGGCGGCGUGCUUAAUACAUGCAAGUCGAGCGAACGGACGAGAAGCUUGCUUCUCUGAUGUUAGCGGCGGACGUGUGAGUAACACGUGGAUAACCUACUUAUAAGUCUGGGAUAACUUCGGGAAACCGGAGCUAAUACCGGAUAAUAUUUUGAACCGCAGGGUGCAAAAGAAAAAGACGGCCUUGCUGUCUGUAAUAGAUGGAUCCGCGCUGCAUUAGCUAGUUGGUAAGGUAACGGCUUACCAAGGCUACGAUGCAUAGCCGACCUGAGAGGGUGAUCGGCCACACUGGAACUGGGACACGGUCCAGACUCCUACGGGAGGCAGCAGUAGGGAAUCUUCCGCAAUGGGCGAAAGCCUGACGGAGCAACGCCGCGUGAGUGAUGAAGGUCUUCGGAUCGUAAAGCUCUGUUGUUAGGGAAGAACCGAUGUGUAAGUAACUGUGCACAUCUUGACGGUACCUGAUCAAAAAGCCCCGGCUAACUACGUG
RNAcentral lists this ribosomal RNA (497 nucleotides) under uncultured bacterium. Its description in RNAcentral is "partial 16S ribosomal RNA". It matches the Rfam family "Bacterial small subunit ribosomal RNA", at positions 28 to 507 of the family's 1533-position model. The record is from RNAcentral.